AAACUUACCAGGUCAAGACAUGGGCGUGAUUGACAGGCUAAUGACUUUUCUCGAUUCCAUGGAUGGUGGUGCAUGGUCGCACUUAGUUGGUGCAGUGAUUUGUCAGGUUUAUUCCGGUAACGAACGAGACCUCGGCCUUGUAAAUAGCUAUGCUGCUUACAGGGAUAUUGGCGGCUACGCCAAGGAAGCUCGAGGCAAUUGCAGAUCUGGAAUGCCCUUAGAUGUCCUGGGUCGCACGCGUGCUACAAUGACGCCACGAACGAGCUUGCGUGAUGAAAGUUACGCAUAAUCAGCAGUCGGCGUCUUAAGGGAUAGUCUCUUGUAACUGUGGGACUCCAACUAGGAAUGUCUCGUAAGCACAAGUCAACAUCUUGUGUUGAUUACGUCCCUGCUCUUUGUACACACCGCCCGUCGCUCCUACCGAUCGAGUGUUUAGGUGAAUUUGAUGGACGUAAGGAAGUCAAAUAAACCUGAGCACUAGAGAAGAGAAGUCGAGCAUC
This 500-nucleotide ribosomal RNA is filed under the name uncultured Myrionecta. Its description in RNAcentral is "bacterial SSU rRNA". It matches the Rfam family "Eukaryotic small subunit ribosomal RNA", at positions 1211 to 1798 of the family's 1831-position model. The record is from RNAcentral. Lineage: Eukaryota; Ciliophora; Litostomatea; Cyclotrichida; Mesodiniidae.